RNAcentral lists this transfer RNA (88 nucleotides) under Rhodosorus marinus. RNAcentral's name for it is "tRNA-Trp". The stretch from base 1 to 73 matches the Rfam family "tRNA". Rfam says of the family: Transfer RNA (tRNA) molecules are approximately 80 nucleotides in length. Their secondary structure includes four short double-helical elements and three loops (D, anti-codon, and T loops). The record is from RNAcentral. Lineage: Eukaryota; Rhodophyta; Stylonematophyceae; Stylonematales; Stylonemataceae.
GGGAGUGAAGCAUACUGGUGUAUGCCGCCUGUCUUCAACACUGGUGCCUAAGGUUCGAAUCCUUACACUCCCGAGCAAUAAUGCCCUC